AAAUGCGAUAAGUAAUGUGAAUUGCAGAAUUCAGUGAAUCGUCGAAUCUUUGAACGCACCUUGCGCUCCUUGGUAUUCCUUGGAGCAUGCCUGUUUGAGUAUCAUGAAAUCUUCAAAGUAAAUCUUUUGUUAACUCAAUUGGUUUCUACUUUGGUAUUGGAGGUCUUUGCAGCUUCACACCUGCUCCUCUUUGUUCAUUAGCUGGAUCUCAGUGUUAUGCUUGGUUCCACUCGGCGUGAUAAGUUAUCUAUCGCUGAGGACACUGUAAAAGGUGGCCAAGGUAAAUGCAGAUGAACCGCUUCUAAUAGUCCAUUGACUUGGACAAUACUUUUAUGAUCUGAUCUCAAAUCAGGUAGGACUACCCGCUGAACUUAAGC
Molecule: unclassified non-coding RNA, 377 nt
Filed under: plant metagenome
Description: partial contains 5.8S ribosomal RNA, internal transcribed spacer 2, and large subunit ribosomal RNA
Rfam family: 5.8S ribosomal RNA (bases 1-104)
Source: RNAcentral